Non-coding RNA from Acanthosepion pharaonis, 112 nucleotides. The record is from the annotation of a GenBank genome assembly. NCBI's taxonomy places the organism in Eukaryota, Metazoa, Mollusca, Cephalopoda, Sepiida, Sepiidae.
UAUGGCCAUAUCACGUUGAAACACUGGUUUCCGUACGACCACUGAACUUAAGCAACAUUGAGCCUGGUCAGUACCUAGAUGGGUAACUGCUUGGCAAUACCAGGUGCUGUAA